CCUACGGGAGGCAGCAGUGAGGAAUAUUGGUCAAUGGACGAGAGUCUGAACCAGCCAAGUAGCGUGAAGGAUGACUGCCCUAUGGGUUGUAAACUUCUUUUAUAUGGGAAUAAAACAGGGUAUGCAUACCCUCUUGUAUGUACCAUAUGAAUAAGGAUCGGCUAACUCCGUGCCAGCAGCCGCGGUAAUACGGAGGAUCCGAGCGUUAUCCGGAUUUAUUGGGUUUAAGGGGAGCGUAGGUGGAUUUUUAAGUCAGUUGUGAAAGUUUGCGGCUCAACCGUAAAAUUGCAGUUGAAACUGGCAGUCGUGAGUACAGUAGAGGUGGGCGGAAUUCGUGGUGUAGCGGUGAAAUGCUUAGAUAUCACGAAGAACUCCGAUUGCGAAGGCAGCUCACUGGACUGCAACUGACACUGAUGCUCGAAAGUGUGGGUAUCAAACAGGAUUAGAUACCCGGGUAGUC
RNAcentral lists this ribosomal RNA (460 nucleotides) under uncultured bacterium. RNAcentral's name for it is "partial 16S ribosomal RNA". It matches the Rfam family "Bacterial small subunit ribosomal RNA", at positions 338 to 795 of the family's 1533-position model. The record is from RNAcentral.